CCUACGGGAGGCAGCAGUGAGGAAUAUUGGUCAAUGGACGAGAGUCUGAACCAGCCAAGUAGCGUGAAGGAUGACUGCCCUAUGGGUUGUAAACUUCUUUUAUAAAGGAAUAAAACGAGGCACGUGUGCCUUUUUGCAUGUACUUUAUGAUUAAGGAUCGGCUAACUCCGUGCCAGCAGCCGCGGUAAUACGGAGGAUCCGAGCGUUAUCCGGAUUUAUUGGGUUUAAAGGGAGCGUAGAUGGGUUGUUAAGUCAGUUGUGAAAGUUUGCGGCUCAACCGUAAAAUUGCAAUUGAUACUGGCAGUCGUGAGUACAGUUGAGGUAGGCGGAAUUCGUGGUGUAGCGGUGAAAUGCUUAGAUAUCACGAAGAACCCCGAUUGCGAAGGCAGCUUACUAAACUGUGACUGACAUUGAUGCUCGAAAGUGUGGGUAUCAAACAGGAUUAGAUACCCCAGUAGUC
RNAcentral lists this ribosomal RNA (460 nucleotides) under uncultured bacterium. RNAcentral's name for it is "partial 16S ribosomal RNA". It matches the Rfam family "Bacterial small subunit ribosomal RNA", at positions 338 to 795 of the family's 1533-position model. The record is from RNAcentral.